GGAGAGAUGGCUGAGCGGCCGAAAGCGCUGGAUUGCUAAUCCAGUGAGUCUCGUAAGAGGCUCCACGGGUUCGAAUCCCGUUCUCUCCGCUA
This 92-nucleotide transfer RNA is filed under the name Planctomyces sp. RNAcentral describes it as "tRNA-Ser". It matches the Rfam family "tRNA". From Rfam's summary of the family: Transfer RNA (tRNA) molecules are approximately 80 nucleotides in length. Their secondary structure includes four short double-helical elements and three loops (D, anti-codon, and T loops). Further hydrogen bonds mediate the characteristic L-shaped molecular structure. tRNAs have two regions of fundamental functional importance: the anti-codon, which is responsible for specific mRNA codon recognition, and the 3' end, to which the tRNAs corresponding amino acid is attached (by aminoacyl-tRNA synthetases). tRNAs cope with the degeneracy of the genetic code in two manners: having more than one tRNA (with a specific anti-codon) for a particular amino acid; and 'wobble' base-pairing, i.e. permitting non-standard base-pairing at the 3rd anti-codon position. The record is from RNAcentral. Lineage: Bacteria; Pseudomonadati; Planctomycetota; Planctomycetia; Planctomycetales; Planctomycetaceae.